AGAGUUUGAUCCUGGCUCAGAUUGAACGCUGGCGGAAUGCUUUACACAUGCAAGUCGAACGAUGAACCCUAGCUUGCUAGGGGGAUUAGUGGCGAACGGGUGAGUAAUAUAUCGGAACGUGCCUUGUAAUGGGGGAUAACUAGUCGAAAGAUUAGCUAAUACCGCAUACGCCCUGAGGGGGAAAGUAGGGGAUCUUCGGACCUUACGUUAUAAGAGCGGCCGAUAUCUGAUUAGCUAGUUGGUGGGGUAAUGGCCUACCAAGGCAUCGAUCAGUAGCUGGUCUGAGAGGACGACCAGCCACACUGGAACUGAGACACGGUCCAGACUCCUACGGGAGGCAGCAGUGGGGAAUUUUGGACAAUGGGCGAAAGCCUGAUCCAGCCAUUCCGCGUGAGUGAAGAAGGCCUUCGGGUUGUAAAGCUCUUUCGCAAGGGAAGAAAACUUACACAAUAACACUGUGUGAGGAUGACGGUACCUUGAUAAGAAGCACCGGCUAACUACGUGCCAGCAGCCGCGGUAAUACGUAGGGUGCGAGCGUUAAUCGGAAUUACUGGGCGUAAAGCGUGCGCAAGCGGUUUGGCAAGUCAGAUGUGAAAUCCCCGAGCUCAACUUGGGAACUGCGUUUGAAACUGCCAGACUAGAAUAUGUCAGAGGGGGGGUAGAAUUCCACGUGUAGCAGUGAAAUGCGUAGAGAUGUGGAGGAAUACCAAUGGGCGAAGGCAGCCCCCUGGGAUAAUAUUGACGCUCAUGCACGAAAGCGUGGGGAGCAAACAGGAUUAGAUACCCUGGUAGUCCACGCCCUAAACGAUGUCUACUAGGUGGUUGGUGGAGUAAAAUCCAUGAGUAACGCAGCUACGCGUGGAAGUAGACCGCCUGGGGAGUACGGUCGCAAGAUUAAAACUCAAUGGAAUUGACGG
RNAcentral lists this ribosomal RNA (917 nucleotides) under uncultured bacterium. RNAcentral describes it as "bacterial SSU rRNA". It matches the Rfam family "Bacterial small subunit ribosomal RNA", at positions 8 to 916 of the family's 1533-position model. The record is from RNAcentral.